AUGGAGCAGGUGACGAAGCUAGCGGGGCAGCGGGCCGUGGUGAUCUUCGGCAUGAGCUCCUGCUGCAUGUGCCACACGGUGACGAGCCUACUCCGAGAUCUCGGGGCGAACCCGACGGUGGUGGAACUGGACGAGGACCCUUGGGGGAAGGAGAUGGAGAAGGCGCUGGUCCGGCUCCUCGGCCGCAACCCUGCUGUGCCGGCGGUGUUCAUCGGUGGCAGGCUCGUCGGAUGCACCGACAAGGUCAUGUCCCUUCAUCUCGGCGGCAAGCUCGUCCCGCUGCUUCAUAACGCAGCUUGCUGGCUUGGAGGAGGAUGA
Molecule: ribosomal RNA, 318 nt
Filed under: Triticum aestivum (bread wheat)
Lineage: Eukaryota; Viridiplantae; Streptophyta; Magnoliopsida; Poales; Poaceae
Description: partial small subunit ribosomal RNA
Source: RNAcentral